AGAAGAGUGAAAACGAGAGCGGAAACAUCAUGCCAACCUAGGAAGAAGACCAGCAGUGAAAUCCAAAGUUGUGAAAAAGGACUGAUGAUGUUAUUGAAGUGUUUAGGUCGAUAUGUAUUAAGAUAUGGUAUGGGUGGACUAUAUUGACCGACAGUGGUUUCGCCAUCGAGUAGUCAGGGUCCAGGACUGGUCAGUGUUUUGGCGGACAGUGCGCACCAACAACGACGUUGAAGGCUAGCACACCCGACUGAACACAUUGGCCAGGCACAGGGGGGUGUCCCAUUCUACAAAUUAGUGCUACAAAUGCGACAGGAAGCAGAAGUGGUUGAUGUUGCUUUGCGAUCUGCGGACUUGGAGAGGGAGACUAACCGGCUAUACACUGCCCUUGAGAAGAGGAUCCAGAAAGCCUGGGAUGAGUACAUAGAAGGAGCUUGGACCACCAGUCACUUUUUGCAAGCGAUAUCAUCGUGUUACAGCUCGUCCGUCAACACCGAGUGAUCGAACUCUUCUAAUAAGAUGUGAAGACUAUGUGAUGACUGACUAACACUCGAAAUGUGUUUAACAGUGACUAACAGUAUUUAAUUAUGUGUGUCAUGUAGUGAUUAUAA
Molecule: long non-coding RNA, 608 nt
Organism: Magallana angulata
Lineage: Eukaryota; Metazoa; Mollusca; Bivalvia; Ostreida; Ostreidae
Exons: 3
Source: RefSeq, a predicted model, not a curated record